RNAcentral lists this ribosomal RNA (465 nucleotides) under uncultured bacterium. RNAcentral's name for it is "bacterial SSU rRNA". It matches the Rfam family "Bacterial small subunit ribosomal RNA", at positions 331 to 793 of the family's 1533-position model. The record is from RNAcentral.
CCAGACUCCUACGGGAGGCAGCAGCGAGGAAUAUUGGUCAAUGGGCGGGAGCCUGAACCAGCCAAGUCGCGUGAGGGAAGACGGUCCUACGGAUUGUAAACCUCUUUUGCCGGGGAGCAACGGGGUCCUUGCGAGGGCCCGAUGAGGGCACCCGGAGAAAAAGCAUCGGCUAACUCCGUGCCAGCAGCCGCGGUAAUACGGAGGAUGCGAGCGUUAUCCGGAUUUAUUGGGUUUAAAGGGUGCGUAGGCGGAAUAUCAAGUCAGCGGUAAAAAGUCGGGGCUCAACCCCGUCGUGCCGUGGAAACUGAUGUUCGUGAGUGGGCGAGAAGUAUGCGGAAUGCGUGGUGUAGCGGUGAAAUGCAUAGAUAUCACGCAGAACUCCGAUUGCGAAGGCAGCAUACCGGCGCCCAACUGACGCUGAAGCACGAAAGCGUGGGUAUCGAACAGGAUUAGAUACCCCUGUAU